RNAcentral lists this long non-coding RNA (1845 nucleotides) under Homo sapiens (human). RNAcentral describes it as "non-protein coding CALML3-AS1:5". The record is from RNAcentral. Lineage: Eukaryota; Metazoa; Chordata; Mammalia; Primates; Hominidae.
UUUAGAGAGAAAAAUGAGGCAGCAUCUCCAUUUGCAGGCUGGGAGCAUGCCCUGGGCCCAGGUUACAGCUCUGUCCACAGGGGGCUGCGCAAGAAAGAGUGUGUGCUUUGCUCCUGGGAGCCCCGCCCUUCCUCGAAUAUUCUGGAGAUCUCUUUUGUGGUGGGGAGACCCAGCAAAGGCUGCACACACAGCUUGCUCAAGGUCACCCCAUGAAAAGUUCAGCUGGGGAUCAAGGUCCCUUUUUUAUUUUGGGGUUUUUUGGGGGCUAAUUCUGGGACAUGGGGACCUUCUGUCACCUUCUGAGAAGGGCUCUUGAUUGUACACUGGUGCCUGAUGCCUGAGUGUUAGAAUUCAUAUCCCAAACGCACUUUAAAAAUAUUUAAAUAUCUCCGCUCUAGAUCACCCGAAUACCCAAAAAUAGCAGGUUAGUAACAAAUACCUGAAAUUUCCUCCACACCAUGAAAUAAUACACAGCCUUUAAAAUGAGGAUGAGGAUAUAACAAUGGAAAGGUUUCCAUGGAAAAUUUUUAAAAAGCAGAUAGAAAACUGUAUAUGUGAUAUGAUUUCAUGUAUUAAACAUUUAUAUAUGUUUAUUUAUAUACAUUCACAGAAGAAACGCCUAGAUAAUCAUGUACCAAACUCUUAAUAGUGGAUACUUUGGAUAAUAGGAUUAUAAGUGCUUUUAAUUUUCUUAUAAAUGUAGUAUCUUUGCUCAUUUAAAAAUGUUUUAUAUUUGCCAUAUAUCAUUUCUAUUAUUAGGGGAAAUGACUGAAGAUUCAAAAACCAUCCCUGAUAAAAAAUAUUCCAUAUCUUACUGAACUCCCAAUAUUCUUUCUCUUUCUCUGAGGUUAGGUAAUGUGGAGGGCCUGGUAAUAUUGUCAGCUUUAUAUCUCUCAGAGAUAUGAGACUAUGGUGAGCAUAGCUAUUAUUAUGUAUAGAAAAGCAGAAUAAUUAAUAGCCAAUAACCACACCCCCUAUUUGACUGCCAGAGUGACCAUCUAGUGGAAAAGAUGCUAUGAAGCAUUUUUCUUCUACUUUCCCUGCCUAGGGGCUGGAGAGACUUCUUCAUGAAGGAAUACAGGGACAGUCACAGGAGACAGGAGCACCAAGGGAUUCGGACAUGUGGCUGACACAGUCUUCUGGAGAGCCCCGGAUGGCAUCAGGGGGAAACCUGGCCUGAGACAGUGCCCUGAUGGACAAGGACAGGAAUACGGUCAUACCUCCUGCCCACUUGACCAACGACCAGGAUGAGAAGCCAACAGAUGAUGAAUAUGAAUUAAAGUUGGACAACUAGCAAGUUUAAAACUUGGACUGGGACCUAGAUCUUCCGAUUCCUACAGCUAGCCUCCCUUUCCAUCUUCUCUGUGGUCAUCACUAAUGCAGUUUUUGACCGUCUUGUCCAGAAGCUGCAAAACAGACAACAGAAGCCAGGACUGGCCCUGCCUUAGAUGGCUUUCAGUGCAGGAAAGUAUCAAGACAGUCUUGUUCGUAGCGUAUAUCUCUCUCCACCUUUUCUGCUAAGCACCUCAUGUAUGCAGCUGCCAAUGUAACACCUCCAUUUGCGUGUUUAAUCACCAUCUCAAGCUAAUGUAACCAAGCAGACUUCUUGGCCUUCAUCCCUGCCUCCUCUAGUCUUCUCAUCUCUCUCUCUCUCUCUCUCUUUUUGAGACAGAAUUUGGCUCUGUUGCCCAGGCUGGAGUGCAGUGGCACCAUCUUGGCUCACUGCAACCUCUGCCUCCUGGGCUCAAGCCAUCCUCCCAACUCAGCCUCCUGAGUAGCUGGGUCUUCCCAUCUCUUUAAAAAACAAUUCAAUUGUUCAGAACAAAACCCUGGAGUCAUAUUUAA